GUUCGGAAUUACUGGGCGUAAAGGGCUCGUAGGCGGCCAACUAAGCCAGACGUGAAAUCCCUCGGCUUAACCGGGGAACUGCGUCUGAUACUGGAUGGCUUGAGAUUGGGAGAGGGAUGCGGAAUUCCAGGUGUAGCGGUGAAAUGCGUAGAUAUCUGGAGGAACACCGGUGGCGAAGGCGACAUCCUGGACCAACACUGACGCUGAGGAGCGAAAGCCAGGGGAGCAAACGGG
This 234-nucleotide ribosomal RNA is filed under the name uncultured bacterium. Its description in RNAcentral is "partial 16S ribosomal RNA". It matches the Rfam family "Bacterial small subunit ribosomal RNA", at positions 543 to 776 of the family's 1533-position model. The record is from RNAcentral.